UGUAGGAGUGAGCCUGCUCGCGAUAGCGUUGUGUCAGCCAAUAUCCAAGUCACCUGACCCACCGCCAUCGCGAGCAGGCUCACUCCUACA
RNAcentral lists this unclassified non-coding RNA (90 nucleotides) under Pseudomonas granadensis. The record is from RNAcentral. Lineage: Bacteria; Pseudomonadati; Pseudomonadota; Gammaproteobacteria; Pseudomonadales; Pseudomonadaceae.